GAUGAACGCUGGCGGCGUGCCUAAUACAUGCAAGUCGAGCGAACAGACGAGGAGCUUGCUCCUCUGACGUUAGCGGCGGACGGGUGAGUAACACGUGGAUAACCUACCUAUAAGACUGGGGUAACUUCGGGAAACCGGAGCUAAUACCGGAUAAUAUAUUGAACCGCAUGGUUCAAUGGUGAAAGACGGUUUUGCUGUCACUUAUAGAUGGAUCCGCGCCGCAUUAGCUAGUUGGUAAGGUAACGGCUUACCAAGGCAACGAUGCGUAGCCGACCUGAGAGGGUGAUCGGCCACACUGGAACUGAGACACGGUCCAGACUCCUACGGGAGGCAGCAGUAGGGAAUCUUCCGCAAUGGGCGAAAGCCUGACGGAGCAACGCCGCGUGAGUGAUGAAGGUCUUCGGAUCGUAAAACUCUGUUAUUAGGGAAGAACAAAUGUGUAAGUAACUAUGCACGUCUUGACGGUACCUAAUCAGAAAGCCACGGCUAACUACGUG
This 497-nucleotide ribosomal RNA is filed under the name uncultured bacterium. Its description in RNAcentral is "partial 16S ribosomal RNA". It matches the Rfam family "Bacterial small subunit ribosomal RNA", at positions 28 to 507 of the family's 1533-position model. The record is from RNAcentral.